ACGUAGGGUGCAAGCGUUAAUCGGAAUUACUGGGCGUAAAGCGUGCGCAGGCGGUUUUGUAAGACAGGCGUGAAAUCCCCGGGCUUAACCUGGGAAUUGCGCUUGUGACUGCAAGGCUAGAGUACGGUAGAGGGGGGUAGAAUUCCGCGUGUAGCAGUGAAAUGCGUAGAUAUGCGGAGGAACACCGAUGGCGAAGGCAGCCCCCUGGACCUGUACUGACGCUCAUGCACGAAAGCGUGGGGAGCAAACAGG
RNAcentral lists this ribosomal RNA (252 nucleotides) under uncultured bacterium. Its description in RNAcentral is "partial 16S ribosomal RNA". It matches the Rfam family "Bacterial small subunit ribosomal RNA", at positions 525 to 776 of the family's 1533-position model. The record is from RNAcentral.